This 280-nucleotide ribosomal RNA is filed under the name uncultured marine eukaryote. Its description in RNAcentral is "partial 18S ribosomal RNA". It matches the Rfam family "Eukaryotic small subunit ribosomal RNA", at positions 613 to 897 of the family's 1831-position model. The record is from RNAcentral.
UUGCGGUUAAAAAGCUCGUAGUUGGAUUUCUGUUGGGAACGACCGGUCCGCCCAUUGGGUGUGCAUCUGGCUUGUUCUCGGCAUCUUCUUGGUGAACGUUGCUGCACUUGACUGUGUGGAGCGCUACCCAGGACUUUUACUUUGAGGAAAUUAGAGUGUUUCAAGCAGGCAUAUGCCUUGAAUACAUUAGCAUGGAAUAAUAAGAUAGGACCUCGGUUCUAUUUUGUUGGUUUCUAGAGCUGAGGUAAUGAUUAAUAGGGAUAGUUGGGGGCAUUCGUAU